RNA transcript from Aethalodelphis obliquidens (Pacific white-sided dolphin), 3864 nucleotides. It is a transcript of the gene named shieldin complex subunit 2, with no coding region annotated. The transcript has 14 exons. NCBI's taxonomy places the organism in Eukaryota, Metazoa, Chordata, Mammalia, Artiodactyla, Delphinidae. The record is from RefSeq and is a predicted model, not a curated record.
CGGCUGUGGCGGGCUGCCCGCGGGCCCGGCCCAGCAGCGCGGCCGAGUCGGCCGCCGCCGAGCCUAGGGCUGCGGGCCCGACGCGGGACAGCAGCAGCGCUUCACCCAGGCACCGUGAUAACUAUUCUCUGGACUGAAUCCUGAAUUUGUCUUGUUGGUCAAAUGAUUAAGACAGUUUAUCUUCUUCCCCCCACAGUGCCCCCCACCCUUUUUGGAGAUAUGGGAAAGGGUUAGAGGCCUUGAUGUUUGAAUAGACAAGCUGUAGCACUCGGGAUCUUCAUUUCGGCACGCAGGGUCCUUUAUUGCGGCAUGCAGACUCAGUUGCGGCAUGCGUGUGGAGUCUGGUUCCCGGACCAGGGAUCAAACCCGGGCCCCCUGCAUUGGGAGCAUGGAGUCUUACCCACUGGACCACCAGGGAAGUCCCUAAUCUUGGGAACUGAGUUCACAGUUGAAGGAAGGAGGCCCUAAACUUACAUAAUCAAUGGCGUAAAGGAAACAGGAGAUUUAAAGAAACCAUGAGUGGAGGAUCUCAAGUCCACAUUUUUUGGGGUGCUCCAAUCAGUCCACUGGAAAUGACAGUAUCACAGGAACCAACUUCUUUAGUGUCCACUGCGGACCCCUGGAAAGAAAUUCAGCUUUUGUACAAUCACCAUUCCUUACAUCUGAAGGAUGAAAAAUGCAGGCACAAAAGUCUUGAGGAUUAUCAGGCCCUGGAACCUCUGGACCCUCCAGAUCUUCCUCGUGGUCAUUUUCCAGCAAACUCUGUGAACAGAUUUGUUCACGUGAAAGAUGACUUCACACAUUGCAUUUCUGAAACACAAACUAUAAAAUCCCAGAAGAGUCACCCCUUGGGGUUGAGUGAUAGAACCAACUCCAGUGAUCAAAUAUGUGGAUUUAAGGCUGGAUUUCAACAUUUAACUGAAGAAGAAAAGUAUCAAAAGCUUUUCAGUGAACAUAAGAAAAUCACAGUUGAACAGCCUAAAGAUCAAUCAAAUAUACAUGGUCAGAAUGUUCCAAAAGAUUCCUUUCAGUUAGAUCAUAAGUGUGCAGCUAUAUUGGAUGUGAUCUGUGGUGCUGAACAGACUAAUACGGGGCCAGGAGCUAUGGAAACAAACUGUGCACCAGCAGAGCAUCAUGAAAUACAAAACCAGUGUCAGGAAUUAUUUUCCUCUAGCACAACAGACAAACCAAGGCCUGAAGGAACAGUUAGGAAGGUCUCAGGCCUUAAAAUAUCCACUGAUACUGAAUUUCUCAGUGUAAUGACCUCCAGCCAGGUUGCUUUUUUAUCUCAAAGGAAGUAUAAAGGGCAGAAUUCUAUAAAUAAAGGAACCAUUAAAAUGGAGAUUGAACCAGAGGCAAGUCAUGGGGAAAUAAGAAUAACUGAAGAUAAUUUGAUUCAGCCCAAUGAUGAUUCUACAGAAGGAUAUGAAGGUGGACAGAACCAAGCCUGUUCCCUUGAACUUUUUAGUCCUGAAACAAAAAAUAGCCACAUUCUCUUGAACACCGAUAAAGGUCUUGAAGAAAAUAUAGGAUCUCAAGAACUUUUCCGUUUUGAUGAUAAAUUGACGCCAAAUGAGAUACGCAUUGAGUCAUGUAGCUCAGGAAUACUGUGUUCCCAAUUAAAUACCUUCCACAAAAGUUCUGUUGAAAGAAGUUGGACCUCUGAAGAUAAAUCAGGCCAUCCUCAAGCUCUAUCUGAAGUCCCCCACGUCGCUAAGAAAAGCAAGUUGAUUUCUAAUCAGAGAGAUCAUACUGUAACAGUGCACCAGAGGAAUGUGUCUGGAUUUAAGGGCAUUAAAAAAACAUCGUUAAUAAAAAACUGUGAUUCUGAAAGUCAGAAGUAUAAUUGUUUAGUCAUGGUGUUAUCUCCGUGUCACGUGAAAGAAAUAAACAUAAAAUCUGGACCAAAUUCUGGCUCUAAAGUGCCUUUAGCAACAAUUGUGGUAAUUGACCAAUCAGAAAUUAAGAAGAAGGUUUUUCUGUGGAGGACUGCAGCGUUUUGGGCACUUACAGUGUUUCUUGGAGAUAUAAUUUUACUCACGGAUGUUACUAUUCAUGAGGAUCAUUGGGUUGGUGAGACAGUACUGCAAUCAACAUUUACCAGUCACUUAUUAAAUCUUGGGAGUUAUUCAUCUGUCCAUCCUGAAGAAUAUUCCAGUAUGGUUAGUGAUAUUGUACUUCAAGACUUACUGGCAUAUGUGUCUUCAAAACAUUCCUAUCUCAGAGAUCUUCCUCAGAGGCAGCUUCAGAAAAUGAGCAGUAUAGAAUUUGUAGAAUUGGAGCAGCUUCAGCCAGACGUAUUAGUCCAUGCAGUUCUAAGAGUUGUUGAUAUCACUAUACUGACAGAGGCAUUAUACAGUUAUAGAGGACAGAAGCAAAGGAAAAUUAUGUUAACAGUGGAACAGGCCCAAGGUCAACAUUAUGUGCUUGUAUUAUGGGGUCCUGGAGCAGCCUGGUACCCUCAACUUCAAAGGAGAAAAGAUUAUAUUUGGGAAUUUAAAUAUCUUUUUGUUCAACACAAUUGCAUCCUGGAGAACCUAGAAUUGCAUACGACACCAUGGUCAUCCUGUGAGUGCCUGUUUGAUGAUGAUAUAAGGGCAAUUACAUUUAAAGCAAAAUUUCAAAAAAACACACCGUCCUUUGUGAAGAUGUCAGAUUUAGCGACACACCUAGAGGAUAAGCGUUCAGGAGUGAUUCUAAUCAAAGCCCAGAUUUUAGAGCUAGUGUUUCCCAUUACAGCAUCUCUGAAGAUAGCUCUAAAUGCUCACAGUUCUCUGAAGAUUAUUUUUUCUUCUCUUCCCAAUAUUAUAUAUACUGGCUGUGCAAAAUGUGGAUUGGAACUAGAAACAGAUGAGAACAAGAUCUACAGACAAUGUUUUAGCUGCUUGCCGUUUACCAUGAAGAAAAAAUACUAUAGGCCAGCUUUAAUGACCAUAGUUGACGGAAUAUAUAAGGUUUGCGUCCAUGUAGGAUCAAAGCUGAUAGAGAAGAUUCUUCUCAACAUUUCUCCUGACUGGCUCAACAGAGUUAUAGGCUGUACAACCUCUAUUCGUUGUCAUUUGGUGAAUCCCAGCCUGGAGGGAAGGGCAGGAGUGAUUCUCUUUGAUUCUGGUCCAGCCUUAGUCUUCCACAGGCUCUGCGUGUCUGGGUCUUGGAUGUGGUGCUUUCUCAGUGACCCUGCCCCUCCUGCCAAGUCAGCCACGCUCUGCCUCGUGUCCUUGCUUCUCCCCUUUCCCAGGCCUUCACCAUAGCUGGAAGCUUUCUCUGAUGUCUUGCCCUGCAUCCAGCCUUGUGAGUACCUGGUGAAGAUGAGAAGAGCACGUGCCCCCUUGUCUUUGACGCUGGUCCACGCUUGGCUUUUAGCAGUUCAUUGAAACUUGAAGCACAUUCUUCAUUCUUGCUUGUUUGGUGGACUGUCUUCUUUCUGAGCUCGGCCCCAGCCUUAAUUUAGGAAAAGAUUAAUCUCAGUUCUUCCCUCGAUUGUUUGAAGAAGCCAGGGGCUGUACCAUAACAGGAAACACCAUCAGUCUGAACAGUGCAUUACUUGUGCCUUCUCUCCAGAUCAGCAGGAAUUGUGCCUCAUCAUUCUAGAGUAACCUGUGACUAGAAAGAGAGGGGGUAGAAAGAGACAUUUACAGUGGGUUUGGGACUUGAGAAACCAAGGGAAACAAUGAACCCUUCAAUGUGAGCAUGUCCACACUCCGGGAAGGGAUGCUAAGAGCCCUUCAUGUUUCCUCUUCCUCAGCCCCUCCCUCAGACGUCACCUACAACCUGGUCGCCGCAGACCUGCUCCAUGCCUUGCUGGCGGGCAGUGGGGCACCUUGUGUCCUGAAGGUGCAGAGCCUCUUUGUGUUAGAUGAAAAC